This is a long non-coding RNA of Limulus polyphemus (Atlantic horseshoe crab), 855 nucleotides long. RefSeq lists it as uncharacterized. Lineage: Eukaryota; Metazoa; Arthropoda; Merostomata; Xiphosura; Limulidae. The record is from RefSeq and is a predicted model, not a curated record. The transcript has 3 exons.
UUCGUAGAGUUCACGUACAUAGACUUAUAUCUACGAUUAAGUGUGGAAAAUUGUUUUAUAUGUGCUGUUUUAACUACGUACUUACAUAUUGUAUUGGUAAAUCAAGUACGUGUGUAUGCCAAUUUCUUAAUUCACGAGUUUCACUUCCACUGACACAAGAUGUGAUAAUGCUUUGAGAAUCUUCAUUUUCUUAACCUAUUGACAAAAAAUAUGGCCAAACCAAACAAAUAUGAAAGCUCUAUUCUCAAUGGUAAUAAAGCUUCGGACUAUGCGGAGUAUCUGCCUGGAAGUGAUCCAGAAUAGACAACCAGAAGUGAAUUAAAGCUUUUAAUACCAGAAACAAGAGGACAAACGAAUGUCCAACUGAGACUUUGGCAGUUUUUUUUUUGUUCUUAUAAAUUACCAUAACUGUCAGAAAUAUCAUUAAAUCAUUGAAAGUAAAAUAUAUAACAACUGAAAAUUAAAAACUGGUGAAUUGCCAAACAAUACUGUGGAUUUAAUAACAGAAAAAAGAAAAGGAAUAUUAAUAAUUGUCUGACGUGGAGUGAGAGAUGUUCCUUCUCUCCAUUGUUUUUCUUCCUUUCAUCUCACAUGUUAACUUCAGCAGUGACAGUAAGAGCUUGUACAUCCACUUGCUUCUGGACCUGGACAUAACUGACCUCUGGUCGAUUAGUCAGUGUAAAGUUCGGAAAAGUACUUUUUUGUGACUGUGACGGCAAACGUGGGCUGUGACAUACAGAACACUCGCACUUACGAGUUUCUCGUAGGCCUAUAAACACGCCCUCUUUGUCGACGUUUUGAUCUAUUUUUUGUCUAUAGGUAAAUAAAAUUGGAAAAUAAAAUCAUUACUUAAGA